GUUCUUAUAGUUGAGCGUCAACGAUGGUUUUUCAGGCCAUAGACCUUGGAUGAGACCAAGUGAGAACC
RNAcentral lists this transfer RNA (68 nucleotides) under Agapornis roseicollis (peach-faced lovebird). RNAcentral describes it as "tRNA-Glu". The record is from RNAcentral. Lineage: Eukaryota; Metazoa; Chordata; Aves; Psittaciformes; Psittacidae.